RNAcentral lists this long non-coding RNA (266 nucleotides) under Lathyrus oleraceus (garden pea). Its description in RNAcentral is "Pisum sativum (pea) long non-coding RNA (PSAT_LNC007458)". Lineage: Eukaryota; Viridiplantae; Streptophyta; Magnoliopsida; Fabales; Fabaceae. The record is from RNAcentral.
AGGGAAAGGGGAAAUAUCGAUAAAACCCACGAAAAACAAAAAGAAAUGGUCGUCACAACCAAAUCGGGUUCAGGAGUCGGUUAUGCAAGGGGAAGGUAUUAGCACCCCUCACAUCCAUCGUACUCGAUGGGACCCAUUUAGUUAGUUUCGUGUUAGAGUGUUAGCGUGAUAUCGUUUGUGAACUUCUAGUUAUCGAGCGAGAAAAAAGAGAGAAAGAAAGGAAAAACUUAAGGUUUUUUAAUAUUAAUGUGCCUGACAAGAUUUCG